This 2191-nucleotide long non-coding RNA is filed under the name Daphnia pulex (common water flea). RNAcentral describes it as "uncharacterized LOC124202580". The record is from RNAcentral. Lineage: Eukaryota; Metazoa; Arthropoda; Branchiopoda; Diplostraca; Daphniidae.
UGAAUCAGCUAGUAAAUUUAAAUGAUUCAUUCCCCUCUUUCAAAACGAAACAGGAAAAAUAAUUAAAACCUUUCUGACAGACGGAGGAGGGGAGUUUAAAGGAGGUGAUUGGACCUAGAUGGGCGAGUUAGGCAUUCGACGUCUAUACACAGUCCUAUACUUCCCACAACAAAAUGGCAUUGCAGAACGAGACAAUUGGUCAGUUGUGGAGCUGGCACGUAGCGCAAUGUAUGGAAUGAAACUUCCAGUAUCACCUCAAGUCCUCAUUCGUCUAUGGGCUGAGGUAGUUGCCUACUCAGUCUACACCCUGAACCGGACUCUUUCGACACUCGAUCAGUCACGCCAUUCGAGAAACUUUACGGUAUUAAGCCAAACAUCUCACACCUUCGCCAAUUUGGUUGCUCAUGCUAUGUAAAAAUUCUAGACGAAAAACGGCGCAAAUGGGACCCUAAAAAAGAUUGGCCUUUUUUCUUGGCUACGAUGACACCUCAACCGGAAACCGAGUUCUGACAAUCUAAGAUUCGUAAUCAGUCUUGAUGUCGUGUUGGUCAAGACAGAAUCCCCAGCGCAAUCAUAUCAACAGCACUCUUCGUCAAUACCUGGCUUCCCGUACGUCUGUCCUUCUUCCGUUCUGUCCAAAAACUGUAACUAAGACACAUUAUUUAUUUCCAUUGUAUUCGUUCACUGUACAUUUCUGCGUCAUAUUUGACAAUUCUUUAAAAUGCGCGUUACAAAUAAAUCUAAUCUAAUCUAAUCUACGCAAUCCAACAACCAACGUUAAACAAAGCUACGAGUGAAAACGACGCUACUAAAACUAGCACUGGAGGACAAAAGCUCGACAACAAGGAAAAGACGGACAAUGACGGCACAGCUGACCAUGAUGGUCAUGUCAACUAUGUGGGGCUUGGACUUUAGGUUUUGGUUCUUAAUUAAAGUUGCGCUAAACGAAACUGACAGUGCAAGGACACAACGCGAAAUCAUUUCGACACUGCAGCUGAUGGAUCCGUUCAUAUCUGUAUGCCAGUGUGUCCGUGAUAACUUGAAAUUGUCAUUGAUAAGCAAAACGUCCAACGAAAAAGCCACGUCGUUGAUGAGAUUUUUAAUCAGUGAGGAUUAUCCAAAUCAAUAUGUGAUAUCAUUUAUUGUAUCACGCAAAAGAACUGUGUAGAGCUUGCUGAUUGUUUAGUGAAGUGUGGGUUUUCGGUCACCUACUAUCACGGUGGUCUAGAGGAAGAGACACGAAAAGUGUCAGGCGAAGACAAGAUUAUGUGUGCCACCGUUGCUUUCGGUUUGGAUGUCCGAUUUGUUUUCCACUUUUCAAUGCCGAAAUCGAUAGAAUCUUACUAUCAGGAAUGCGGAAGAGGUGGCCGGGAUGGACAAUUGGCUAAUUGCAUAUUAUUUUAUAAAUAUGCAGAUUACUAUGUUCAACAGAAACUCAUUUACUACGAUCCCGAUGGCAAAAAACUCGCUUAUUUUCAGGCUAUGGAGUUAUCAGCUCUUAAAGACAUUGUUUUUUUGCGAAAACCACACCGUUUGCCGCAACGUCAAAAUUGCAAGUUUCCUUGAUGAAUUACCCACUAGCUGCAGUCGUGAUUUACCAAGUUGCUGCGACAUUUGCGGCUCCAACACAAUAUAUGACGAAAUUUAUGUAAUCGAAUAUGUUCGUGAUAUAAGAAAUUCAAUUCGAUCUUCAGCUUCAUCAGCUUCAUCAUUAAAUACAUCGUGAAUGUCUUUCGCUCUGAAAACAAAGGAAGUUGUAUUCCGAAGUUAAUGACUGUGCCAUGUCUGGCAAAGGCCAGGGUUGGAUAUCGGACAAUGCUUAUAGAUUGAUUCAACAAAUUGUUCUGGACAAUGUUCUAGAAGAAGAAUUAGUCUGUGCGGAAGGACGCCAAGCAUACGCCAAGAUUCACCUUGGAAAAUAUUGGCCAUUGCAAAAGUAUCCGUUUUUGAUGUUACAAAAAGAACCAACAGUGCAGUCAAAAAGGUUUAAACCCAGAUAGGAAUUGUCGUUCCAAUCCGGUCAAAUAUGCGCGCCAGUGAGACAACUGAGACGGGCCGUCUCAAAUCGAUCUUAAAGCUGACCCAUUGCUUUAAAUUUGGCAAUUUUUUCCGUCCGCAACCAACUACUUUCACAGUCCCUUGUUACCAUCUCUGGUCCGACCCUUUAAUAGAUUUUGGUUCCAACACAACA